CAGUCGCCGCGGUAAUACGUAGGGUGCAAGCGUUAAUCGGAAUUACUGGGCGUAAAGCGUGCGCAGGCGGUUUUGUAAGACAGAGGUGAAAUCCCCGGGCUCAACCUGGGAACUGCCUUUGUGACUGCAAGGCUAGAGUACGGCAGAGGGGGAUGGAAUUCCGCGUGUAGCAGUGAAAUGCGUAGAUAUGCGGAGGAACACCGAUGGCGAAGGCAAUCCCCUGGGCCUGUACUGACGCUCGUGCACGAAAGCGUGGGGAGCAAACAGGAUUAGAUACCCGUGUAGUCCCUGUCUCUUAUAC
RNAcentral lists this ribosomal RNA (301 nucleotides) under uncultured bacterium. RNAcentral's name for it is "partial 16S ribosomal RNA". It matches the Rfam family "Bacterial small subunit ribosomal RNA", at positions 509 to 807 of the family's 1533-position model. The record is from RNAcentral.